Molecule: long non-coding RNA, 200 nt
Filed under: Elaeis guineensis (African oil palm)
Lineage: Eukaryota; Viridiplantae; Streptophyta; Magnoliopsida; Arecales; Arecaceae
Description: long non-coding RNA (EGUI_LNC066004)
Source: RNAcentral
UUAACGCACUGUAGACUCAUCUAGGUGAGUAGCUCCUAAUAAAAAAUCACUUGCUUAAAUCUGUCAGACUUACCUUAGGCACCAACUGGUUAAUUAGUUUCGAUUAGGUCUAUCAGAAGAUUCGUACUCAACCACGGAGCCAUGAUCAUGGUCCAUUUAUUAGGGUCAAACACAUAGACUUGAUCAAACUUCAACUACUG